AAAGAUUAAAUAGUCAAUUGAAUAAAUGAGAGUUGUCAUGGGAAAUUUCGGUGGGAGUCCGGAGCUAGCCCGUAACUGUGAAGUGAGUUUUGCCAUCAAUGUCAUCACGAGAUGAUGGUAAGGCGAUGAACGAAGUCAGAGUGCCAUCAAUUCUUUAGUUAGUAAC
Molecule: non-coding RNA, 166 nt
Filed under: Veillonellaceae bacterium
Lineage: Bacteria; Bacillati; Bacillota; Negativicutes; Veillonellales; Veillonellaceae
Source: RNAcentral